Molecule: non-coding RNA, 2374 nt
Filed under: Limnonectes kuhlii (Kuhl's wart frog)
Lineage: Eukaryota; Metazoa; Chordata; Amphibia; Anura; Dicroglossidae
Description: partial contains 12S ribosormal RNA, tRNA-Val, and 16S ribosormal RNA
Rfam family: Bacterial large subunit ribosomal RNA (bases 1044-2374)
Source: RNAcentral
UCCUAAACUUACACAUGCAAGUCUCAGCACACCCGUGAGGACGCCCUUUACUCUUCACCAGACUAAGGAGCCGGCAUCAGGCAUAAAAUCUCUACCCAUUACGCCUAGUCUCACCACGCCCACAAGGGCCUUCAGCAGUGAUAAAUAUUGUCCAUAAGCGACAGCUUGACCCAGUCAUAGGAAAUAGAGCUGGCUAACUCGGUGCCAGCCGCCGCGGCUAAACCGCACGAGCCCAAGUUGACAAUUGCCGGCGUUAAGCGUGAUUAAAGACCUUCUUCAAUUAGAGUAAAAUCUACAUUUAGCUGUAAUAAGCUUGCGCCAGAGAAAAUUUAAAACGAAAGUUACUCUAACCCACUUGAACACACGACAGUCGGGAAACAAACUGGGAUUAGAUACCCCACUAUGCCCCACCGUAAAAUAUCAACUUACACUAACAACGCCAGGGUAUUACGAGCCUCAGCUUAAAACCCAAGGGACUUGACGGUGUCCCAUCCAACUAGAGGAGCCUGUUCUAUAAUCGAUAAUCCCCGAUACACCUAACCCCAUUUCGCAAAUCAGUCUGUAUACCUCCGUCGCAAGCUUACCAUAUGAAUGCUAAUAGUAAGUUUAAUGGUCAUAACACCAACACGUCAGGUCAAGGUGCAACUCAUGAUGAGGUAAGCAAUGGGCUACAAUUUCUAACAUAGAAUACACGGAAUGCUGCAUGAAACACAGCUAUGAAGGCGGAUUUAGCAGUAAAAAUGAAAUAAUAUGUCUUUUUUAAUAAGGCCCUGGGACGCGUACACACCGCCCGUCACCCUCUUCAACAGUAUAAAAAAAUGUUCUUUACAUCCUAGCACGCCUUAGAAGAGGCAAGUCGUAACAUGGUAAGUGUACCGGAAGGUGCACUUGGAUCACAAAGUAUAGCUUAAAUAAAGCCUCUUGCUUACACUAAGAAAAUGUCUGUGAAAAUCAGACUAUUUUGAGCCCAAAAUUAAGCCUAAAUCUUAAUCCCAUGUGACAUAUUCCCACAACAAACCCAAACAAAACAUUUUACCAGUUUAGUAAAGGUGAUUAAAAGACUUAUUAGCGCUUUAUUACAAGUACCGCAAGGGAAAAAUGAAAUAGCUUUGAAAUAGGUUUUAAGCAGAAUAUAGCAGAGAUUAUUUCUCGUACCUUUUGCAUCAUGGUUUAGCUAGUCACUCUCAAGCAAAACGAAACAUCAGUUUGACCCCCCGAAACUAAGUGAGCUACUUUUAAACAGCUCAAUGGAGCCAACCCAUCUCUGUUGCAAAAGAGUGGGACGAUUUUUAAGUAGAGGUGAAAAGCCUACCGAACUUAGAGAUAGCUGGUUAUUCAGGAAAAGAAUUUUAGUUCAACCUUAAGUUUUCUUAUUACACAUAAAAUUCAUCUAAACUUAAGAGCUAUUCAAAUAAGGCACAGCUUAUUUGAAAAAGGAUACAACCUACAAAAAAGGGUAAAAAAAAUUUUAUAUAAAUUAAGUGGGCCUGAAAGCAGCCAUCUUUAAGAAAGCGUUAAAGCUCUUUUUCCAUUUUUAAUAAUUCCUCUAAGUCUAUUAAACCCUUUAUCCCCACUGAAUGAUUCUAUAUCUUAUAGAAGCCCUAAUACUAAAACUAGUAACAAGAAAUUGUAUUUCUCUAAAAUAUAAGCAUAAGCCAGAAUGGACCAACCACCGGCAAUUAACGUCAAUAAGACCAUUGUAGUAACCUCACAAGAAAACCCUACAAACAUAAACGUUAAUCUUACACAAGAAUAUUUCUGGAAAGAUUAAAAGAAAGGGAAGGAACUCGGCAAAUCUAAACCCCGCCUGUUUACCAAAAACAUCGCCUCUUGACAAACUAUAAGAGGUCCAGCCUGCCCAGUGAAAAAGUUAAACGGCCGCGGUACCCUGACCGUGCGAAGGUAGCAUAAUCACUUGUUCCUUAAAUAGGGACUCGUAUCAACGGCAUCACGAGGGUUAUACUGUCUCCCCCAUCUAAUCAGUGAAACUGACCUCCCCGUGAAGAGGCGGGGAUAUAACUACAAGACGAGAAGACCCCAUGGAGCUUUAAACCCACUGACAACCUCCAUCCAAAUACUCCCAUAUAGAUAUAAAGUAAUGUACAUUGGUUUUAGGUUGGGGUGACCACGGAGUAAAAUUAAACCUCCAUGACGAACGGAAAUUCAUCCUAAUCCAAGAGCUACCACUCUAAGAAUCAAAAAUUUGACGUAAUAUGAUCCGGUAACCGAUCAACGAACCAAGUUACCCUGGGGAUAACAGCGCAAUCCAUUUCAAGAGCCCCUAUCGACAAAUGGGUUUACGACCUCGAUGUUGGAUCAGGGUAUCCCAGUGGUGCAGCCGCUACUAAAGGUUUGUUUGUUCAACAAUUAAAAC